This 170-nucleotide unclassified non-coding RNA is filed under the name rhizosphere metagenome. RNAcentral describes it as "partial ribosomal RNA internal transcribed spacer region". The record is from RNAcentral.
GAAAUUCAAGGACGCUCUUUUUAGAGGUCCGACCAAUUACAUUUUACCUUUCACUCUGUGCACACACUAUUUUUUACACCAAUUUUUAACUCUAUAGUUUAAGAAUGUAAACAAGUCUCGAAAGAGCAACAUAACAAAACAAAACUUUCGGCAACGGAUCUCUUGGCUCU